Molecule: non-coding RNA, 31 nt
Filed under: Mus musculus (house mouse)
Lineage: Eukaryota; Metazoa; Chordata; Mammalia; Rodentia; Muridae
Also listed under: 1 other name
Source: RNAcentral
UCCUGACAGAAGAAGAGUAUCGGAUACAAGG